RNAcentral lists this ribosomal RNA (253 nucleotides) under uncultured bacterium. RNAcentral describes it as "partial 16S ribosomal RNA". It matches the Rfam family "Bacterial small subunit ribosomal RNA", at positions 524 to 776 of the family's 1533-position model. The record is from RNAcentral.
UACGAAGGGGGCUAGCGUUGCUCGGAAUCACUGGGCGUAAAGGGUGCGUAGGCGGGUCUUUAAGUCAGGGGUGAAAUCCUGGAGCUCAUCUCCAGAACUGCCUUUGAUACUGAGGAUCUUGAGUUCGGGAGAGGUGAGUGGAACUGCGAGUGUAGAGGUGAAAUUCGUAGAUAUUCGCAAGAACACCAGUGGCGAAGGCGGCUCACUGGCCCGGUACUGACGCUGAGGCACGAAAGCGUGGGGAGCAAACAGG